GACGAACGCUGGCGGCGUGCCUAAUACAUGCAAGUAGAACGCACAGUUUAUACCGUAGCUUGCUCCACCAUAAACUGUGAGUUGCGAACGGGUGAGUAACGCGUAGGUAACCUGCCUGGUAGCGGGUGAUAACUAUUGGAAACGAUAGCUAAUACCGCAUAAUAUUGAUUAUUGCAUGAUAAUUGAUUGAAAGAUGCUAUUGCAUCACUACCAGAUGGACCUGCGUUGUAUUAGCUAGUAGGUGAGGUAACGGCUCACCUAGGCGACGAUACAUAGCCGACCUGAGAGGGUGAUCGGCCACACUGGGACUGAGACACGGCCCAGACUCCUACGGGAGGCAGCAGUAGGGAAUCUUCGGCAAUGGACGAAAGUCUGACCGAGCAACGCCGCGUGAGUGAAGAAGGUUUUCGGAUCGUAAAGCUCUGUUGUAAGAGAAGAACGGGUGUGAGAGUGGAAAGUUCACACUGUGACGGUAUCUUACCAGAAAGGGACGGCUAACUACGUG
This 505-nucleotide ribosomal RNA is filed under the name uncultured bacterium. RNAcentral describes it as "partial 16S ribosomal RNA". It matches the Rfam family "Bacterial small subunit ribosomal RNA", at positions 28 to 507 of the family's 1533-position model. The record is from RNAcentral.